CGCCCUGCUCCAUACACCCGAAACGGUGGAAGCGCUGCGGCGGAGGA
Molecule: unclassified non-coding RNA, 47 nt
Filed under: Sorangium cellulosum So ce56
Lineage: Bacteria; Pseudomonadati; Myxococcota; Polyangiales; Polyangiaceae
Source: RNAcentral